RNAcentral lists this unclassified non-coding RNA (412 nucleotides) under Hevea brasiliensis (rubber tree). The record is from RNAcentral. Lineage: Eukaryota; Viridiplantae; Streptophyta; Magnoliopsida; Malpighiales; Euphorbiaceae.
UUUUUUUUUUCCUUUUCUUUAUUAAUAUACAGAAUAAAAAUUUACAAUGCCAUAGUCAAGUAUAUCAGCUGAAAGAGAUAAUAUGUGAUAAGGUUGAGGGAAUUCCAAAUCCAAUCCCUGUGCAUGAAACCCAUUUUUCAGCCAAAUAUAAUAUCUCCAUGCUCCAGACCCACACCACCUACUUGAAAAUGAAGAAACCAGCUGUGCAUGUUGGCAAUGUCCAAGGUGAAGACAAAUCUCCAACACAUUAUUGCUAAACCAUUUCCAUUUAUACAUUGCACAUCCUGACACUAAACCACUGCAUGCAGCUUCCUAGCUGUAUAAAUUAAUCAAACUGCUGCUGCUUUAUUAUUCAGCAGAUAUUAAACCAACAAAAUAUUACUACCAAUAAUAAUUUUAGCCUAAUUGUUCU